AUCGUAAGGUUUGCUGGAGGUAUCAGAAGUGCGAAUGCUGACAUGAGUAACGACAAAGGGGGUGAAAAACCUCCUCGCCGGAAGACCAAGGGUUCCUGUCCAACGUUAAUCGGGGCAGGGUGAGUCGACCCCUAAGGUGAGGCCGAAAGGCGUAAUCGAUGGGAAACGGGUUAAUAUUCCCGUACUUCUGACUAUUGCGAUGGGGGGACGGAGAAGGCUAGGUGGGCCAGGCGACGGUUGUCCUGGUUCAAGUGCGUAGGCUUGAGAGUUAGGUAAAUCCGGCUCUCUUUAAGGCUGAGACACGACGUCGAGCUGCUACGGCAGUGAAGUCAUUGAUGCCAUGCUUCCAGGAAAAGCCUCUAAGCUUCAGAUAGUCAGGAAUCGUACCCCAAACCGACACAGGUGGUCGGGUAGAGAAUACCAAGGCGCUUGAGAGAACUCGGGUGAAGGAACUAGGCAAAAUGGUACCGUAACUUCGGGAGAAGGUACGCUCUUGAUGGUGAAGUCCCUCGCGGAUGGAGCUGACGAGAGUCGCAGAUACCAGGUGGCUGCAACUGUUUAUUAAAAACACAGCACUGUGCAAAAUCGCAAGAUGACGUAUACGGUGUGACGCCUGCCCGGUGCCGGAAGGUUAAUUGAUGGGGUUAGCGCAAGCGAAGCUCUUGAUCGAAGCCCCGGUAAACGGCGGCCGUAACUAUAACGGUCCUAAGGUAGCGAAAUUCCUUGUCGGGUAAGUUCCGACCUGCACGAAUGGCGUAAUGAUGGCCACGCUGUCUCCACCCGAGACUCAGUGAAAUUGAAAUCGCUGUGAAGAUGCAGUGUACCCGCGGCUAGACGGAAAGACCCCGUGAACCUUUACUACAGCUUGGCACUGAACAUUGAACCUACAUGUGUAGGAUAGGUGGGAGGCUAUGAAGACGUGACGCCAGUUGCGUUGGAGCCGUCCUUGAAAUACCACCCUUGUAUGUUUGAUGUUCUAACUUAGACCCAUUAUCUGGGUUGAGGACAGUGCCUGGUGGGUAGUUUGACUGGGGCGGUCUCCUCCCAAAGAGUAACGGAGGAGCACGAAGGUGGGCUAAUCACGGUUGGACAUCGUGAGGUUAGUGCAAUGGCAUAAGCCCGCUUAACUGCGAGAAUGACGGUUCGAGCAGGUGCGAAAGCAGGUCAUAGUGAUCCGGUGGUUCUGUAUGGAAGGGCCAUCGCUCAACGGAUAAAAGGUACUCCGGGGAUAACAGGCUGAUACCGCCCAAGAGUUCAUAUCGACGGCGGUGUUUGGCACCUCGAUGUCGGCUCAUCACAUCCUGGGGCUGAAGUCGGUCCCAAGGGUAUGGCUGUUCGCCAUUUAAAGUGGUACGCGAGCUGGGUUUAGAACGUCGUGAGACAGUUCGGUCCCUAUCUGCCGUGGGCGUUGGAAGAUUGAAGGGGGCUGCUCCUAGUACGAGAGGACCGGAGUGGACGAACCUCUGGUGUUCGGGUUGUGUCGCCAGACGCAUUGCCCGGUAGCUAAGUUCGGAAUUGAUAAGCGCUGAAAGCAUCUAAGCGCGAAGCGAGCCCUGAGAUGAGUCUUCCCUGACAGUUUAACUGUCCUAAAGGGUUGUUCGAGACUAGAACGUUGAUAGGCAGGGUGUGUAAGCGUUGUGAGGCGUUGAGCUAACCUGUACUAAUUGCCCGUGAGGCUUAACCAU
RNAcentral lists this ribosomal RNA (1685 nucleotides) under Vibrio cholerae. Its description in RNAcentral is "partial 23S ribosomal RNA". It matches the Rfam family "Bacterial large subunit ribosomal RNA", at positions 1260 to 2925 of the family's 2925-position model. Lineage: Bacteria; Pseudomonadati; Pseudomonadota; Gammaproteobacteria; Vibrionales; Vibrionaceae. The record is from RNAcentral.